GCCCUACGGGGCGCAGCAGUGGGGAAUAUUGGGCAAUGGAGGAAACUCUGACCCAGCAAUGCCGCGUGAAUGAAGAAGGUCUUCGGAUUGUAAAGUUCUUUAGUCAGGGAAGAAGUCAAUGACGGUACCUGAAGAAUAAGCUCCGGCUAACUACGUGCCAGCAGCCGCGGUAAUACGUAGGUGGCAAGCGUUGUCCGGAUUUACUGGGUGUAAAGGGCGUGUAGCCGGGAAGGCAAGUCAGAUGUGAAAUCCGGAGGCUCAACCUCCGAAUUGCAUUUGAAACUGUUUUUCUUGAGUACUGGAGG
This 305-nucleotide ribosomal RNA is filed under the name uncultured bacterium. RNAcentral describes it as "bacterial SSU rRNA". It matches the Rfam family "Bacterial small subunit ribosomal RNA", at positions 335 to 655 of the family's 1533-position model. The record is from RNAcentral.